This 67-nucleotide transfer RNA is filed under the name Callosciurus prevostii (Prevost's squirrel). RNAcentral describes it as "tRNA-Arg". The record is from RNAcentral. Lineage: Eukaryota; Metazoa; Chordata; Mammalia; Rodentia; Sciuridae.
UGAUAAUUAGUUUAAAUCAAAACAAGUGAUUUCGACUCACUAAAUUAUGUGUUAACAUAAUUAUCAA